This 129-nucleotide small RNA is filed under the name Halopseudomonas xinjiangensis. Lineage: Bacteria; Pseudomonadati; Pseudomonadota; Gammaproteobacteria; Pseudomonadales; Pseudomonadaceae. The record is from RNAcentral.
UGCGCGACGGAUUGCGCAGCUCGGCAGGACGCUGAGCCAGGGAUACACCAGGAUGGGAACGUCGGGACGACGGGUCACGGAUGGCACAUAGGGAAUGAAGAGUGGGCGGGUAAAACCGCCCCUUUUUUU